Bos taurus (domestic cattle) is the source of this 1614-nucleotide long non-coding RNA. The record is from Ensembl. NCBI's taxonomy places the organism in Eukaryota, Metazoa, Chordata, Mammalia, Artiodactyla, Bovidae.
AAUUGCUGGGAUUAAAUCUCGGCUGCUUGUGCAACUGUGUGUGCAGGACUGGUGUGCACAUGGCUGCCUGGAUGUCUGUCGUCCAGAUGGCACCAGAUGGGGUCUUCUGUGAUAAGCAGGAGUGAGGCUGGGCAGCUGGAGACAGGGGCCGGUGGGAUGCUAAGUCCUCCUCUGCACCCAUGUCCCUAAUAUUCCUGCUUCUAUUCAGUUCUUCCCAUCGUGCAUGCGUGCAAGUUGCUUCAGCCGUGUCCAACUCUUUGCAACCCUAUGGACUAUAGCCCGCCAGGCUCCCCUGUCCACAGGAUUCUCCAGGCCAGAAUACUGGAGUGGGUUGCCAUGCCCUCCUCCAGGGAUCUUCCCAACCCAGGGAUCAAACCCACAUCUUUUAUGCCUCCUGCAUUGGCAGGCGGGUUAUUUACUACUAGCACCACCUGGGAAGCUCUCUUCCUGCCACCCCCGUCUUUUCGAAGGCUUCCAUCUCUCUCACCUGCAUUCCUUCAAUCCUGUCCUCCAAGCCAGUGUCCGCAGCUCCCUCUGCCAACCUUCCCCCACCUUCCCCCCACACAAUCAUCAGGGCGGUCCUUCUCAAUUGCAGAUCCAAUCAUGUCACAUCCCUGCUCUGAAUCUGUCAGUAACUUCCCAAGCAGGCAUGCCUCCUUCUCUCUGGAAGCCGUUUCUGAUGACACCAGCCCAUUGUAGGUCCCCAGAGACGAGGAUCCUGUGUCUGUCUGCCUCAGCAUCGUGCCUUCGACAGAGAGCAUGGUAGUCGUUACAUAAGUAUCUCACGGAAGAGUGAAUGCACAGGCCAGAGUCUGGGAGCCCCUUCCUCGUGGGUGCUGCCUCAGAGCCCCAGCUUCAGGGCUGAAUCUCUUGCUACCAUCAGACCCUUCAGGAAGCAUCACAGUUACCUUCCUCUCCAUCUUCCGAGGCACUCCCUCUGCUCCCAGGACCAGAAGCUCUGGGAGAGUAGAGACCACACGAGUUUCCUUCUGACUUUCCCAGACAUUGCCUGGCACUUUGCAGCAACCCCAUGACUGUUAUCUAAGUCAACUUUUUGACUCAUUCCAACCCCACAGCUACACAGCCACUAGCUGUGUCAUCUUUGGGAAUACAUGUCUUUCUAGUUUCACCUGUGAAAUGAGCUCAAGAGUAACUACUACUCACCAGAAAACACCAUCAAUGACUGGACACCUGUUUUCUUAUAUACCACUAAGAAAACAAACAAACAAACAAAAAAGAAUACUUCCGCAAACCUUUGACUCAAUGUUUUUAAUCUCUUGGAAUUUCAUUUUAUAUUUAAAAUUAUUUUAAAAUCUCUUUGAGAUUUAAUCCAUAUAGAUUUUAUCUCAUGUCACUCUUGCAUGCGUGUGUGCUAAGACGCUUCAGUUGUGUAUGACUCUCUGCGACCCGCUGGACUAUAGCCCACCAGGCUCUUCUAUCCAUGGGAUUCACCAGACAGGAAUACUGGAAUGGGUUGCCAGGCCCUCCUCCAGGGGAUCUUCUCAACCUAGGAAUCCAACCCACAUCUCUUAAGUCACCUGCAUUGGCAGCCGGGUUCUUUACCACUAGCCCCAACUGGGAAGCCCAUGUCACUCUCUGGCAUGAAUAAAAAGG